AUUGAACGCUGGCGGCAUGCCUUACACAUGCAAGUCGAACGGUAACAGGUCUUCGGAUGCUGACGUGUGGCGAACGGGUGAGUAAUACAUCGGAACGUGCCCGAUCGUGGGGGAUAACGGAGCGAAAGCUUUGCUAAUACCGCAUACGAUCUACGGAUGAAAGCAGGGGACCGCAAGGCCUUGCGCGGACGGAGCGGCCGAUGGCAGAUUAGGUAGUUGGUGGGAUAAAAGCUUACCAAGCCGACGAUCUGUAGCUGGUCUGAGAGGACGACCAGCCACACUGGGACUGAGACACGGCCCAGACUCCUACGGGAGGCAGCAGUGGGGAAUUUUGGACAAUGGGCGAAAGCCUGAUCCAGCCAUGCCGCGUGCAGGAUGAAGGCC
RNAcentral lists this ribosomal RNA (384 nucleotides) under uncultured bacterium. RNAcentral's name for it is "bacterial SSU rRNA". It matches the Rfam family "Bacterial small subunit ribosomal RNA", at positions 30 to 416 of the family's 1533-position model. The record is from RNAcentral.